AUAAAAUUGUAAUGAAAAAAAUAAUUCAAACAGCCGGCGAACCAAGUAAAUUCCAAUUUGUUCAUUCAAAAGUGUCGUUGAAUCGAUAAAACCGUCUCCUUCCUUCAAAUUGAAACUUCGACGCAGCAGGCAGCAGCAAAUUAAAGCUCUUCAUUAAAGAACCAUCUCCUUCCUCAAAUGGAAACGUUACUGACAUCAGCCAGUUUCCCGUCUCCUUCAUUAAAGAACCUGAAACGAUCCUGAGUUUCAAACUCUGAAUCUGAAUCUGAAUCAUACGAAUACUUGAAACGCACCGUCUCCUUCACUCUUCCCGUUCACCCCAGCAGUCAACGGAGCGCCGCUACUUCUACAUCAGCCAGAAACCAGUGGUAAUUCGCCAGCAAUUCCGCCACAACUUCCUCGUAAUUCCUCAUAAAAUCAGUGGAGUUUGAAAACUUCGGAGACAACGUUGAUUACUCCGUUAUAUUUGCUACGGAUAGGGAAUUUAUUUCCUUAAAUGAAUUACAUAGUUGGGCCGAUGCGAUAGCAAUAACAAUUGGUUUUCAAUUUACGCGUGCUUCUUAUAUAAAAAAAGAAGGACGUUCUAGAGUUAGUGUGUAUUUAAGAUAUCACCGCUAAGAUAAUAUUAGGGGUGAUUUACAUAAUCUAGAUAAUACCGCCCGAUCUGGUUCUAAAAGUAGAAGUUGCGGGUGUAAAUUUUUGAUUGUAGCAAGUAGUCGUAAACCAGAAGAAAGACCUUGGACGGUAAGGGUGUGUCCUGGUGAAUAGCGAAAAGAUGGUAAAUUUUCCUGGUUUUUAUGCUAGUAUGAAUAAGAUAUAUAACAUUAUCUCUAAGAGGUUCGAAUCAAUAAGAAGAGAAAAGAUGGAGGGUAGGACUCCCCUUCAACACUUUCUUUAUGUGGCCACAAAACUUAAUUAUGUGGUCUGGACAAACUUGAAUAGCGAAGGGGAAUUGAGCAGACUACUAGUUGCAAAUCCUACCUCUAUCCAAAUGAUAAGUAUGUGGCCGUAUGUUGUGCUGAUAGAUGACAUUCAUUGUGUAUAAUAACGAUGUAAAUUAAUAAAGGCAUUGACGUGAACAUGAAUUAAAUAUGAUGUAAUUAGCGUUGACGAUAAAUAAAUAAAAUCAUUAAUGUAAAAUAGGUUAAGUACAGACUAUGAAGGGCCAUGCCCCUUAAAUGCUUGCUGUAACACCCCGAGAUUUUCUAACGUCAUUAAUUAAUAUUUUAAUUACUUUUGGGUAUUUUAUAAUUAUAUUAAAUUAAUUUUGAAGUAGUUUUAAUAAAUUCUUUUCAUAUACGAAUUUAAAUAUUAACAUAUAUUUAUAUUAAAAAAAUGCAAUCACGAUUUCUAAACAAAGAAGUUCGAAUCAAAAUAAUUAUUUUAUUGAAAUGUGUGAGCACACGAAGGUGAGUUCUUAGUUGGGCCUCGCAAGAAGAUGAACCUAGGUAAACAAAUAAAUAAAUAAGUGUAUAAAUUAAUAAAUAGGAUGAGUUAGGGUUUUAAGGGGAUAUCACUCCCUCCCUCACAAGAAUCACGCCGUCAGCCCGUCACUCCCUUCCUUCUCUUCUCUCUUUCUCUCACUCCCUCUCACUCACUGUUGAGCUUCCACAGCCACCAAGGACAGCAGCCGGCAGCACCUUCCCUUUCCCUGCAGCAGCUGUGACUCACCCCAAGCAGCUGGCAGCGACCGUGACUCACCCAAGCAGCAGGCGGCAGCAGCUGCGUUUCUUGGAGGUUCCCACAGCAGCAGUCGUGUCUGGCACACCACAGGCUGUCCACCUUCGUGCUCCACCACCACCACAUCACCACCUAUACCAUCACCCUUUUCUAGUUUUUCCAUUGGUUGAAACUUCUAUAGGUGCUCAUUUCGUAAGAGGAAAGUAGAGCCUUAGUUGGAUGAUUUUGUGACUGUUGAUCGUGCAGUGACGCUUACAGCAGGGGGAUCAUAGACAAGCGUAGCAGGUACUGGAGCUUCUUUUGCAUUGCAGUGCAUUUGGGGAGAGUGAUGAGGGCAAAACAUACCCUGUGUCAUACCGCUACCUUUCGAUUUUGUAGUUUUUGUUAUCUUUUGUAAACUUUGGUUGUAUAUGUUUUGUUAUGAGGCCUUGCGUCCUCCCUCGUAUAUUUGUAAUUCCGCUGCGUAGUUUAUAACUCUGUAUGGUUUUAAAGAGUUAAGUUUUUUUAAAAUGCAAACGUCGACACUGGAAUCGCGAUCCAUGCUUGGCAUGUUGAUUUGAGAAGCCGGCGACGAAUCAUUCUACCGUGACAUAGCUUUGAUAGGCCGUUGGUGCCUUUACUUUAUUAGUUUCAAAAUUAACUUUUGUUUUUCUACAAAGGCGCACAGUUUUAAGGCAGAUGUUGCCAAAAUUUCCACUCACUUUUUUAAAGUUAAUAUUUAACGUUUAUCUAAAUUCUUUUCCUUUUCUUUUAUGUAACACCCGAAUUUCCUCCCGUCCUUUACGGUUUUGGUUUCAUUAAGGGGACGGAAAUUCAUGUGUGUUACACUUGACAUUCGGCAAAUAAAUAUUUACAAUCAUUAAGAUAUAAUUCUAAGGCAUGACGUUCUCGGGGGUUCAUAUUCGCGAGAGGAGGUAGUCUCACCAAUGGAGCGAAUCGACUAGGCCAUUCAUUGAGAAACUGAAAAAAAAAGGAAAAACGGAG
Amaranthus tricolor (Joseph's coat) is the source of this 2664-nucleotide long non-coding RNA. RefSeq lists it as uncharacterized. NCBI's taxonomy places the organism in Eukaryota, Viridiplantae, Streptophyta, Magnoliopsida, Caryophyllales, Amaranthaceae. The record is from RefSeq and is a predicted model, not a curated record. The transcript has 4 exons.